GGUCUGCUACCUCUUACCCAUGUCUUUUGAGUACCUUCGUUUCCUCGGCGGGUCCGCCCGCCGGUUGGACAACAUUCAAACCCUUUGCAGUUGCAAUCAGCGUCUGAAAAAACUUAAUAGUUACAACUUUCAACAACGGAUCUCUUGGUUCUGGCAUCGAUGAAGAACGCAGCGAAAUGCGAUAAGUAGUGUGAAUUGCAGAAUUCAGUGAAUCAUCGAAUCUUUGAACGCACAUUGCGCCCCUUGGUAUUCCAUGGGGCAUGCCUGUUCGAGCGUCAUUUGUACCUUCAAGCUCUGCUUGGUGUUGGGUGUUUUGUCUCGCCUCCGCGCGCAGACUCGCCUUAAAACAAUUGGCAGCCGGCGUAUUGAUUUCGGAGCGCAGUACAUCUCGCGCUUUGCACUCAUAACGACGACGUCCAAAAGUACAUUUUUACACUCCGGCGAGUGAAGCGGCAACAGCUCAAAUUUGAAAUCUGGCGUCUUUGGCGUCCGAGUUGUAAUUUGCAGAGGGCGCUUUGGCAUUGGCAGCGGUCCAAGUUCCUUGGAACAGGACGUCACAGAGGGUGAGAAUCCCGUACGUGGUCGCUAGCCUUUACCGUGUAAAGCCCCUUCGACGAGUCGAGUUGUUUGGGAAUGCAGCUCUAAAUGGGAGGUAAAUUUCUUCUAAAGCUAAAUACUGGCCAGAGACCGAUAGCGCACAAGUAGAGUGAUCGAAAGAUGAAAAGCACUUUGGAAAGAGAGUUAAAAAGCACGUGAAAUUGUUGAAAGGGAAGCGCUUGCAGCCAGACUUGCCUGUAGUUGCUCAUCCGGGUUUCUACCCGGUGCACUCUUCUACGGGCAGGCCAGCAUCAGUUUGGGCGGUUGGAUAAAGGUCUCUGUCAUGUACCUCCCUUCGGGGAGAUCUUAUAGGGGAGACGACAUGCAACCAGCCUGGACUGACGUCCGCGCAUCUGCUAGGAUGCUGGCGUAAUGGCUGUAAGCGGCCCGUCUUGAAACACGGACCAAGGAGUCUAACAUCUAUGCGAGUGUUUGGGUGUCAAGCCCGAGCGCGUAAUGAAAGUGAACGGAGGUGGGAACCUUUCGGGGUGCACCAUCGACCGAUCCUGAUGUCUUCGGAUGGAUUUGAGUAAGAGCAUA
This 1137-nucleotide small RNA is filed under the name Pleosporales sp. 1 MU-2012. RNAcentral's name for it is "eukaryotic LSU rRNA". The stretch from base 367 to 1137 matches the Rfam family "Eukaryotic large subunit ribosomal RNA", at positions 1 to 804 of the family's 3401-position model. The record is from RNAcentral. Lineage: Eukaryota; Fungi; Ascomycota; Dothideomycetes; Pleosporales.